CCAUUGCUUCUUGGUCUUUUUUUUGUUUGUUUUUUUGCUUUUCUACGUCCUUAACU
Molecule: small RNA, 56 nt
Filed under: Arabidopsis thaliana (thale cress)
Lineage: Eukaryota; Viridiplantae; Streptophyta; Magnoliopsida; Brassicales; Brassicaceae
Description: ATSL001910
Source: RNAcentral